Molecule: ribosomal RNA, 717 nt
Filed under: Salmonella enterica subsp. enterica
Lineage: Bacteria; Pseudomonadati; Pseudomonadota; Gammaproteobacteria; Enterobacterales; Enterobacteriaceae
Also listed under: 1 other name
Description: partial 23S ribosomal RNA
Rfam family: Bacterial large subunit ribosomal RNA
Source: RNAcentral
GCGUACCUUUUGUAUAAUGGGUCAGCGACUUAUAUUCUGUAGCAAGGUUAACCGUAUAGGGGAGCCGAAGGGAAACCGAGUCUUAACUGGGCGUUAAGUUGCAGGGUAUAGACCCGAAACCCGGUGAUCUAGCCAUGGGCAGGUUGAAGGUUGGGUAACACUAACUGGAGGACCGAACCGACUAAUGUUGAAAAAUUAGCGGAUGACUUGUGGCUGGGGGUGAAAGGCCAAUCAAACCGGGAGAUAGCUGGUUCUCCCCGAAAGCUAUUUAGGUAGCGCCUCGUGAACUCAUCUUCGGGGGUAGAGCACUGUUUCGGCUAGGGGGUCAUCCCGACUUACCAACCCGAUGCAAACUGCGAAUACCGAAGAAUGUUAUCACGGGAGACACACGGCGGGUGCUAACGUCCGUCGUGAAGAGGGAAACAACCCAGACCGCCAGCUAAGGUCCCAAAGUCACAGUUAAGUGGGAAACGAUGUGGGAAGGCUCAGACAGCCAGGAUGUUGGCUUAGAAGCAGCCAUCAUUUAAAGAAAGCGUAAUAGCUCACUGGUCGAGUCGGCCUGCGCGGAAGAUGUAACGGGGCUAAACUGUGCACCGAAGCUGCGGCAGCGACGCUUAUGCGUUGUUGGGUAGGGGAGCGUUCUGUAAGCCUGCGAAGGUGUCCUGUGAGGGAUGCUGGAGGUAUCAGAAGUGCGAAUGCUGACAUAAGUAACGAUAA